Molecule: RNA transcript, 1095 nt
Organism: Rhinopithecus roxellana (golden snub-nosed monkey)
Lineage: Eukaryota; Metazoa; Chordata; Mammalia; Primates; Cercopithecidae
Gene name: 40S ribosomal protein S8 pseudogene
Exons: 1
Source: RefSeq, a predicted model, not a curated record
AAAACACUCAACAAAAGGAAGGAAGGGAACUUUCUUGCAUGGUAAAGGACAUCUGCAAAAAAAAAAAAAAAAUCAGUUUAUUUCAUACUUAAUAGUAAAAGACUGCUUUUGCCUUAAGAUCAGCAACAAAACAAGGAUGUAUAUUCUCACCACCUCUAUUCAACAUUGUACUAGAGGUUCUUGCCAUGAAAAUUAGCCAAGUAAAAGAAAUAAAUGGCAUCCAGAUUGAAAAGUAGGAAGUAGGCCGGGCGCGGUGGCUCAAACCUGUAAUCCCAGCACUUUGGGAGGCCGAGACGGGCGGAUCACGAGGUCAGGAGAUCGAGACCAUCCUGGCUAACAUGGUGAAACCCCGUCUCUACUAAAACAAAUACAAAAAACGCUCUUUCCAGCCAGCGCCGAGCGAUGGGCAUUUCUCGGGACAACUGGCACAAGCGCCGCAAAACCGGGGGCAAGAGAAAGUCCUACCACAAGAAGCGGAAGUAUGAGUUGGGGCGCCCGGCUGCCAACACCAAGAUUGGCCCCCACUGCAUCCACACAGUCCGUGUGCGGGGAGGUAACAAGAAAUACCGUGCCCUGAAGCUGGACGUAGGGAAUUUCUCCUGGGGCUCAGAGUGUUGUACUUGUAAAACAAGGAUCAUCGAUGUUGUCUACAAUGCAUCUAAUAAUGAGCUGGUCCGUACCAAGACUCUGGUGAAGAAUUGCAUCGUGCUCAUCGACAGCACACCGUACCGACAGUGGUACGAGUCCCACUACGUGCUGCCCCUGGGCCGCAAGAAGGGAGCCAAGCUGACUCCUGAGGAAGAAGAGAUUUUAAACAAAAAACGAUCUAAAAAAAUUCAGAAGAAAUAUGAUGAAAGGAAAAACAAUGCCAAAAUCAGCAGUCUCCUGGAGGAGCAGUUCCAGCAGGGCAAGCUUCUUGCAUGCAUUGCUUCCAGGCCGGGACAGUGUGGCUGAGCAGAUGGCUAUGUGCUAGAGGGCAAAGAGUUGGAGUUCUAUCUUAGGAAAAUCAAGGCCCGGAAAGGCAAAUAAAUCCUCGUUUUGUCUUCACCCGUGUAAUAAAGGUGUUUAUUGUUCUGUUCAAAAAAAAAAAAAAAA